Molecule: long non-coding RNA, 2425 nt
Organism: Leopardus geoffroyi (Geoffroy's cat)
Lineage: Eukaryota; Metazoa; Chordata; Mammalia; Carnivora; Felidae
Exons: 2
Source: RefSeq, a predicted model, not a curated record
GGUGCAAGCUCCAAUUCCCCCCUCCCCCCGUCUAUAAGAUCCCUGGCAAUAUGCACUUCUUAUUUUGGACCAGGCAACACUGAUGUGUACACAGAAUACCUCAGAACCGGAGAGCACAAAUGCAGUCUCAGCCCAGGAUUCUCCUACACUGAUGGUUAUGUAGGCAUAUUCUUGAUAUGUAGCUAGCUUCAACAGUAGAGCUCUUGGUGGGAAGAUUCACCAAGAUCAGGUGCAAAUAACCUUGUUACCAAUAAACAACAAACUAGUACAAAGCAUCCAAAACUCCUCAGACCUAUGGUUAUAAAACAAUAUUCUUAGUAUAUGUAAUGCCUUUACUAUGGGACAGUACCACACAGGUGCAUUUCUUAUUUCAGUAGAAUAGCUCAGAUAAAUCCCAGUCAGGUUAACCUCUAAUAUUGUUAUAUGCCUUUUACUCUCUUCCUUGCCAUGUAAAUAAAGCUGAUGGGGUACCCCUUCUCACUGCACACACAAUUCCCAGUGACUACUACUAACAUGCCCUCACCCCAGUUGCUGGAUAUCUAUCCACCUUCUUAUCUGGAUUCACUCUCCUCCCUGUUUUAUGUCCUGGAGGUCUGGCCUGUAUGAACUACAUCAAAGGACUCCUUUGUCCUUUGGGAACCAGUGGUGGAUAAUGUGGUCAGGAAAUUUUCCUCCUAGUUUGUUUCCUGCACUGUCAUCAGAUGCUGAGUCUCCUCUCGAAAGGUUCCUGCAAGGUGGCCCUCUCAACAUAGGCUCUAUGUCUCCAGAGUUUAGCAAAUCCUCUCUCUUCCUUUGUCCCCCAGGCCUAGGGCUGAUAAUCUUACCUUUACUAGCCAUGGAGUAUUGUACUGUCCCUGUGGUUCUCAAAUACUCUUCUCACACCAUUGUAUAUUGUAUUUUUUUUAAAUCUCCUUUCACAUUUUCUUUCUUUUUUUAAAUGUUUAUUUAUUUUGAGAGACAGAGUGUGAGCGGGGGAGAGGCAGAGAGGAAGACACAGAAUCAGAAGCAGGCUCCAGGCUCUGAGAUGUCACCACAAAGCCUCUCACAGGGCGCAAACUCAGGAACAGUAAGAUCAUGACCUAAGCUGAAGUCAGUCAUUCAACCUACUGAGUCACCCAGGCACUCCACCUUUCACAUUUUCUAAUGUGAACGUGCCCCCUGUUUCUGUCAUGCUCUUCUCAGAUACAGUAGAUACCAAAAGUUACUCCAGGAAUUGGGUGUCUCAUUUGAGGAGUGAAAAAUAACCUUCUUACAAUGGGGGUCAGGAGAGUGGGGAGCAGGUGUUAGGAGAGGUUCACUGGUAAUGGCAUGUAGUAGUAUCACACUUAAUCAAAUUAACACCACUCAUGGCAUGGAAUAAAGUACAGAAAUCCAAAGUUUUGGGAAAUCAAGUAGAUGCGUCAUUUAAACACUGUGUUGAAAAUAAUUAUCCAAAAGGUUGUGAAGUCACCUACAUUCACCUGAUGGUCCUAAAGAGUAUGCAUAGGAAAAAGAAGAAAUUGAAAGCUAUGAAAAUACAAUAGAAAACACAUCUAGAUCACUAGAAAGCCUGCAUGACAUGUUUGGAGGAGUCCCUCAUGUUAUGAUAGAUAAAGCUGAGGACCAAGCCCAGGUACUCAGUGUUGCAGAGUUCCACUGCCAAUUAAAUAUUGUACUUGCUAUGGCUUUUACAAUAGGGUAAGGGCACAUGUACAGAAGGAAUAGAACCUUGAUGUAUCAGAUAGAGACUUUGUGUAGACAUGCUCUGAAACAUUAAGAAAUGCAGUGGUCAGAGGGUCAGCAAGCAUUUUUGAAAAUUUCUGUGUGUCUGUGCUCUGUAGGCUGGAGACAAUGAUGGAGAAUGCUGCAGUGGAAUUGGCUACUUGAUCUUAAUGUGAAUUGAAGGGAUCCUAGAGUGGUGGAGGUCAGGUGACAGUGCUUAAUCGUAUAAGACAAGGUGAGUACAAUAACCUCAGUAAGCCACAAGAAUGAAAUGCUAAUUAGAGGAUGUUUGACCCACAGGGAUCUGUGGUGAUGGCUAACCAGAGCAUUCCAAAAAGUGAAAUAAUUGGGCAGUCUAUAGGAUGUUGCUCAACAUAUUCAGGCAGAAAAAAAUUCUAGGUCUGCUGGAAAGUCUAAUUUGAGUUGCUAUAGUGAGGUUUCUCAACUUCUUACCCAACUAAAUGGAAGAGAGGGUACAUUUAAGUUAGGACCUUGAAGCCACUGGUGUAUACUAUAAAUCUUCCAUCAAACCUUUCCCAAUGGAACCUGCAGAUAUUUUUUUUAGGGUAACUGUGUACUAGGGAAAAGGAAAUAUCAAGACCUUCUGGGAGUUAUUGGCUAAAGACUCUGAACUGGUGCUAACCUCUGUCACACUAAGGAACAGAUAGACAACAAGAUAAAUAAUGUAGAAAAGGCUUUAAGAGACUAAUGGGACAUAGUGGGG